This 75-nucleotide transfer RNA is filed under the name Cordylochernes scorpioides. RNAcentral describes it as "tRNA-Thr". The record is from RNAcentral. Lineage: Eukaryota; Metazoa; Arthropoda; Arachnida; Pseudoscorpiones; Chernetidae.
UGUCAAGGGUUGGGAAACGAACCCACAGUGUUCUGCUUACCGGGCAGAUGCCAUGUCCACUAGGCUACCCUGGAC